CCUACGGGAGGCAGCAGUGAGGAAUAUUGGUCAAUGGGCGCAAGCCUGAACCAGCCAAGUCGCGUGAGGGAUGACGGCCCUACGGAUUGUAAACCUCUUUUGUCGGGGAGCAAAGCUCGGCACGUGUGGCGGGAAGGAGAGUACCCGAAGAAAAAGCAUCGGCUAACUCCGUGCCAGCAGCCGCGGUAAUACGGAGGAUGCGAGCGUUAUCCGGAUUUAUUGGGUUUAAGGGGGGCGUAGUGGGAAGGUUAGGUCAGCGGGAAAAUUUGGGUGCUCAACCCCAGACUGCCAUUGAAACUGGUCGUCUUGAGUGCACGUGAAGUAUGCGGAAUGCGUGGUGUAGCGGUGAAAUGCAUAGAUAUCACGCAGAACUCCGAUUGCGAAGGCAGCUUACCA
RNAcentral lists this ribosomal RNA (396 nucleotides) under uncultured bacterium. RNAcentral describes it as "partial 16S ribosomal RNA". It matches the Rfam family "Bacterial small subunit ribosomal RNA", at positions 338 to 731 of the family's 1533-position model. The record is from RNAcentral.